GUACACGCUGUGAUUAGCAUAUCAAUAAGCGGAGGAAAAGAAACUAACAAGGAUUCCCCUAGUAACGGCGAGUGAAGCGGGAAGAGCUCAAAUUUGAAAUCUUAAAGGGUUUCCCUUUACGAAUUGUAGUUUAAAGAAGUGUUUUCUGUUGAGGUUUUGGUAAAAGUUCUUUGGAAUAGGACAUCAUAGAGGGUGAGAAUCCCGUAUUUGACCUUUACUUUCAACUUUGUGAUACACUUUCAAAGAGUCGGAUUGUUUGGGAGUGCAGUCCAAAAUGGGUGGUAAAUUUCAUCUAAAGCUAAAUAUUGGCGAGAGACCGAUAGCGAACAAGUACCGUGAGGGAAAGAUGAAAAGAACUUUGAAAAGAGAGUUAAACAGUACGUGAAAUUGUCAAAAGGGAAGCGUUUGACACCAGUGUUGUUUUUCUGAAAAUCAAUUAAAGAACUGUUCAUGCUAAGCUGUUUAGACUUUAUCAGCUAUCUGUUUAGUUUUGAGCUUUUCUUUAAUGCACUUUUCAGUUAACAAGUCAACAUCAAUUUCUUUUGCUGCUAAAAAAGCUUGAGGAAGGUGGCUUGAGAUUCGUCUUAAGUGUUUAUAGCCUCUUGCCUAUGCAGUCGGAGAGAUUGAGGUCUGCAGCGUAGAUCCUUCGGGGCUAAAUGCAUUUGUGCUAAGUUAUAGCAUUUUAUAGACAACUUGUUGACUAUGAUUUGUCUUGUAGCUUACUCGCUUAUGUUAUUUUACCUACGCUUAGGAUGUUGACGAGACUGUCGAUCUC
RNAcentral lists this ribosomal RNA (775 nucleotides) under uncultured Neocallimastigales. Its description in RNAcentral is "partial large subunit ribosomal RNA". It matches the Rfam family "Eukaryotic large subunit ribosomal RNA", at positions 22 to 647 of the family's 3401-position model. The record is from RNAcentral. Lineage: Eukaryota; Fungi; Neocallimastigomycota; Neocallimastigomycetes; Neocallimastigales.